Long non-coding RNA from Esox lucius (northern pike), 1222 nucleotides. Lineage: Eukaryota; Metazoa; Chordata; Actinopteri; Esociformes; Esocidae. The record is from Ensembl.
GAAGUCCAUUUGUGUCAGGACGCACCACUGUGAGAAUGUGUGGUGGUGCUCUAUUAUCAUUGCUUACUCCAUUAUAAGUAAGAGUCAUAAAGGGGUUACAUACGCCAAUGGAUUUCUGUGACUGUGGUAUAAGGACUUUUCCGAUCCACACUCUGUACGCGGUGUUGAGUGCUUGCCAUGUCUUGUAUCAUUGUGGCACCAAGUGGCAGUUAAAGGAAUGUUUUUUUUAUAGGGGAUCACCAUGGCACAUCUUAAGAGCUGUAGUACGAGUAUUUCUUUUCUGUCAUUGAGGAGUCCAGCCCAGAGUCACCAGAUCUAAAGGCUUUCCUUCUAGUGUGAGAGUGUAUGAUUCUUCAGGGAGUCCAAACCGCUUUAAGAGGUCUCUGACAUCAGACAGCAUCGGCUCCUUCCAGCAUGACAAGAAUAAAUGGCUGACACUGACCACGUGGCCGACGUGAAAGAGUCCGGAGCAGUCGUGGUGAACGCGAUGCUGCCUGCAACGUCAUCCAGAGAGCCCCGGGACACCGUCCGCCGUCUCAUCAGGAGCACGCCCAGGCGUUGUCGGGGCUGCAUACAGGCAACGUUUGGGCCGCACACACUAACGAGAGAUGUGCAGAACAAGAAAAAAAUGAAGCUAGGUGUUGCUGGCUUUUUCAGAAGGGUGUGGAAGAUCUUCACCUGCUCCUCUGGUAUCUCCUCAAAAGACAACUGAGAAAGAAGAUUAUGAUCUCAACCUCAACUGCACACCCAAUUUCUCACACACACACACACACACACACACAAUCAUAAAUAUCUACACACGUACACACACAGUCUACAACAAUCACAAGAAAAUUAGAUUCUUCUGCAUUCUAGUGCAUUGUGUACUUGUGAAUUUCUACUGACAUUAUACAGAAAUGUAGGGAAAGAUAUGAACUACUGUUCUAAAGUGCUUACAAUAAAAGACAAACUAAUAAUAGUUUAAGUAAAAGCAUUAAAGUUUUUCUUGCAGAAAACCACAGGUGGCACAAAAGUGGUGUCACAAAACUUGGGACAUAUUGGAGCCUUUCUAGGGGACCAGUCAGAAUUUUUCAUGAACUUGAGAGGUAAACCUGUGUCCUACUUGUAUGCUUUGUUGACAAAAAAAAUAAUUGUAAACAUACAAAACGGUGUUUAUACAAUUAUAUUCCCAUUCCAUACAUCAGAUUCUAUUGAAUCACGUCCCUGUGUAUGACACUCUUCC